This 431-nucleotide ribosomal RNA is filed under the name Eremarionta rowelli amboiana. Its description in RNAcentral is "partial 16S ribosomal RNA". The record is from RNAcentral. Lineage: Eukaryota; Metazoa; Mollusca; Gastropoda; Stylommatophora; Helminthoglyptidae.
AGCUAUAUGUAUUAUAUAUAUAGUAAUUUCUGCUCAAUGAGUAGCGUUAAAUAGCCGCAGUACCCUGACUGUGCAAAGGUAGCAUAAUCAUUUGGCUCAUAAUUGGGGUCUGGUAUGAAUGAAUUUAUGGCUAGAAGCUGUCUCCUUUAAAGUUUAUUGAAUUUACUAAGUGAGUGCAAAUACUCAUAUUUAGACAAAAGACGAGAAGACCCUAGAAAUUUUUAUUAAUUUCUAUUAAAAAAGAAAGCGUUUUUGUUGGGGCGACAUAAUAACAUAUAACUUAUUAUUAACAUAAGAACCUUUUAUUGAGUAAAUUAAAAUUACUCUAGGGAUAACAGCAUAAUUUACAAAAGUUUGUGACCUCGAUGUUGGAUUAGGGACUGUAUUAUUCAGAAGAAAAUAUAAUUUGUUCUGUUCGAACACUAGUUCUU